Molecule: long non-coding RNA, 943 nt
Organism: Gadus morhua (Atlantic cod)
Lineage: Eukaryota; Metazoa; Chordata; Actinopteri; Gadiformes; Gadidae
Exons: 3
Source: RefSeq, a predicted model, not a curated record
AGCGGAAUCGUUAAGCAGGCUUGCUAAUGAUUCCAAGAAAUCGGUUGAAGGCACCGGUUCUAAACAAGAACCGGUGCUCGAAUCCCAUCCCUAGUUGUGACUGUCUGAGUUUGUGAUAUGAGUCUACAGUCUCGUAUUUAUAUACAUGUUUCAUGUAUUUAUGUUUUUUACAUGUUGUGACAGUGCCUCAGUUUGUGAUUGGAGUCAAUGUUCUAGUAUUAACUUUGUUCUAUCUAUAGUCUUGGUUCUAUGUUCCCACUCUUGGCCUACAACUCGACGUGGUGAGUAGGCUUUAAACUAAGACAUGCCUUUUAUAUUUUUGGUUUGGUUCAGUCUAUCUUAUAAAUGUUACCAAGCCUUAAUUAAACCCCUUGUCUUCGGUUUGCAGAAACCCGAAACUUCAGAGUAUAUUUUAUCUUAAGGUAGAUAAUCUUUUUUGUUUCCUUAUCAGAUCCCAGUCCGUCAUGCUCCUCUACUUGUCGGCCGUGCCACCAUCAUGCAUCACUUCUCAGCGCCCUGCCCAGCUGGAUCUUAUUCCGUUACUCCAGCUCUUUCAUAAAAGUGACAAACAUAAAGACAUACAGCCCUACCGGUAAUCCCUGCUUUUCCUCCUCCUUGCUUCUCACCACCUGCACUGGCUGUCAUCCAUGGGGUCCCAACUUUCAGCCGCACAGCCAUUCGUCUCUGGAACUCUCCCACACUCCAUCCGUGACACUGACUCUAUCUCCCCACAAUCCAAUCAGGCGCUUCACAACCUGGUGAUAGGCGCUAGCGCCAAUGCGCUCAGUGGCGCCAUCUGGUGGAAAUAGGUGGUACAGCGCCUCAACCACCUGCCCCCUGGACCUUCAGGGAUGCUGGGCCGGAGCUGGGUUGCCAUGAUACAUUGUGAGUAGCAAAACAAACUUACACACUUCGGUUGUUGAUGGGAUUCCUCCAGAUGGGC